Molecule: non-coding RNA, 255 nt
Organism: Vicia faba (fava bean)
Lineage: Eukaryota; Viridiplantae; Streptophyta; Magnoliopsida; Fabales; Fabaceae
Source: the annotation of a GenBank genome assembly
AUGGCAAAAACCAGUGCUUCAGUUGUUCUAGCUGUCCUUGUUGUAGAAUUAUUUCUGAAUGGCUAUAAUGCUGCUGAGAGUGUAGAAAGAGGUUAUCAACCUGAGAAAGCAGGAGUUGACGGAUUGAUACAUUGCUUUCUCGUAUCAUGUCCUGCUAUUUACUGUUCAAAAUUUUGUGUGUUAAGAGGCUUCCCUAGAGGUGGUUCUUGCUUAGGAGGAUCCUCUGGAUCGUGUUGUUGCUUUGGAGAUGCCUAA